GGGCAGGACAACAAUUUGCGUGGCAAGUCCGCCCUUGGCUAGCUUUCACACUCCCAUAUAGACGGUGGUAAGUCCGUUACUAGAAUGGAGCAGCUGACCGGUGAGCAGGAGGAGCUGUGCCUGGAGCUCACCCUCCGCCCCAUGGUGCCGGAGCCCCGCGUCGGCUUCUUCCUCUGCGUGUACUGCGACCGCCAGUUCGUCACCUCGCAGGCGCUAGGCGGCCACCAGAACGCGCAUAAGCAUGAGCGCAGCGUGGCCAAGCGCCGCCGGCAGGCCGCUGCCGCUCGGGAGGGUGCGCCUGCUGAGGCGCCGGACGAGAGGCUGCCCUGGUACGGCGGCGGUAUCCUGUGUCCGGCCGGGACGGCUGGUGCUGCUGUCAAGGCGCACAAGCACGGCAUCAGCUGGUCGGAGCACGGCGGCACCGUGGUCGACGUCGACUUGUCUCUUCGUCUAUGAUAGGUCUGCUAACUGGUCCCUCAUCUCCAGAUGCACUAGUUGACGGGCGCGCAUCUGCUAGCUCUUUCGGUAUUAUACUUUUGUAACAAUGCGGAUGCCCAGUCGAUCGAUGGCUAGGGACUAUAUAGCUUCCGGCUUAUAACUGCAAGGCUGCAACAGCCACUUGGAGAAAUUGUGGUGUCCUCGGAAAUUACAUCGUGACAACAUUACUAUGUACUACCUCCGUUUCAAAAUAGUUGAAGUUCUAUGUUUAUCCUCAGUCAAACUUGUUUAAGUUCGACCAAGUCUGUGGAAAAUUAUAGUAUUAACAUCUACAACACCAAAUUAGUCUCCAUAGAUUCUUUACGAAAUAUAUUUUCAUACUAUGUAUAUUUGGUGUUGUAGAUCUUAGCACAUUUGUUUCCAUAGUUGGUCAAACUUAAGCAAAUUUGACUUCGGACAAACCUCAAACUUUAAUUAUUUUAGAACGGAGGGUGUAUCUUCUAAAGUUGUAAUUAAGAUACAGAGACAGAAUGUAAGACAUGCACAUAUUGAUGACUAGUAGAUAUAUGGAAAUAUACUCCAAGAUGCACAUAUUGGGCGUGUGUCAUUGCCGAAUGUAAUGCACACAGAUUAAUGGUGUUCUUGAGCCAUAGUAAAUAUAUAUAACCAGUUCCCUGAUAA
RNA transcript from Triticum dicoccoides, 1119 nucleotides. It is a transcript of the gene named zinc finger protein 2-like, with no coding region annotated. NCBI's taxonomy places the organism in Eukaryota, Viridiplantae, Streptophyta, Magnoliopsida, Poales, Poaceae. The transcript has 2 exons. The record is from RefSeq and is a predicted model, not a curated record.